This 425-nucleotide ribosomal RNA is filed under the name uncultured bacterium. RNAcentral describes it as "bacterial SSU rRNA". It matches the Rfam family "Bacterial small subunit ribosomal RNA", at positions 354 to 796 of the family's 1533-position model. The record is from RNAcentral.
GUUAGGAAUAUUGGACAAUGGGCGAAAGCCUGAUCCAGCCAUGCCGCGUGAACGAUGAAGGCCUUCGGGUUGUAAAGUUCUUUAGCCGAUGAUUAUAAUGACUGUAGUCAGAAAAUAAGCCCCGGCUAACUUCGUGCCAGCAGCCGCGGUAAUACGAAGGGGGCGAGCGUUAUUCGGAAUCACUGGGCGUAAAGCGUGCGUAGGCGGUUUUGUAAGUUAGGAGUGAAAGCCCAGGGCUCAACCUUGGAAUUGCUCUUAAAACUGCAAGGCUCGAAUCUCGGAGAGGAUAGCGGAAUUUCCAGUGUAGCAGUGAAAUGCGUAGAUAUUGGAAGGAACACCAGUGGCGUAAGCGGCUAUCUGGACGAGUAUUGACGCUGAGGCACGAAAGCGUGGGGAUCAAACAGGAUUAGAAACCCCAGUAGUCC